GACGAACGCUGGCGGCGUGCUUAACACAUGCAAGUCGAACGAUGAAGCCGGAGCUUGCUCCGGUGGAUUAGUGGCGAACGGGUGAGUAACACGUGAGCAAUCUGCCCUUGACUCUGGGAUAACUGCGGGAAACUGUAGCUAAUACCGGAUACGACACCUUGGGGCAUCCAGGGUGUGGAAAGAAUUUCGGUCAAGGAUGAGCUCGCGGCCUAUCAGCUAGUUGGUGAGGUAAUGGCUAACCAAGGCGACGACGGGUAGCCGGCCUGAGAGGGUGACCGGCCACACUGGAACUGAGACACGGUCCAGACUCCUACGGGAGGCAGCAGUGGGGAAUAUUGCACAAUGGGCGAAAGCCUGAUGCAGCAACGCCGCGUGAGGGAUGAAGGCCUUCGGGUUGUAAACCUCUUUUAGCAGGGAAGAAGCGAAAGUGACGGUACCUGCAGAAAAAGCACCGGCUAACUACGUGCCAGCAGCCGCCGCGG
RNAcentral lists this ribosomal RNA (482 nucleotides) under uncultured bacterium. RNAcentral's name for it is "partial 16S ribosomal RNA". It matches the Rfam family "Bacterial small subunit ribosomal RNA", at positions 28 to 523 of the family's 1533-position model. The record is from RNAcentral.